AUAUAUUUGAAUAAAGAUGGA
This 21-nucleotide non-coding RNA is filed under the name Arabidopsis thaliana (thale cress). Lineage: Eukaryota; Viridiplantae; Streptophyta; Magnoliopsida; Brassicales; Brassicaceae. The record is from RNAcentral.